GAUGAACGCUGGCGGCGUGCCUAAUACAUGCAAGUCGAGCGAACAGAUGAGGAGCUUGCUCCUCUGACGUUAGCGGCGGACGGGUGAGUAACACGUGGAUAACCUACCUAUAAGACUGGGAUAACUUCGGGAAACCGGAGCUAAUACCGGAUAAUAUAUUGAACCGCAUGGUUCAAUAGUGAAAGACGGUUUUGCUGUCACUUAUAGAUGGAUCCGCGCCGCAUUAGCUAGUUGGUAAGGUAACGGCUUACCAAGGCAACGAUGCGUAGCCGACCUGAGAGGGUGGUCGGCCACACUGGAACGGAGACACGGUCCAGGCUCCUACGGGAGGCAGCAGUAGGGAAUCUUCCGCAAUGGGCGAAAGCCUGACGGAGCAACGCCGCGUGAGUGAUGAAGGUCUUGGGAUCGUAAAACUCUGUUAUGAGGGAAGAACAAAUGUGUAAGUAACUAUGCACGUCUUGACGGUACCUAAUCAAAAAGCCACGGCUAACUACGUG
This 497-nucleotide ribosomal RNA is filed under the name uncultured bacterium. RNAcentral's name for it is "partial 16S ribosomal RNA". It matches the Rfam family "Bacterial small subunit ribosomal RNA", at positions 28 to 507 of the family's 1533-position model. The record is from RNAcentral.